Molecule: long non-coding RNA, 203 nt
Filed under: Solanum tuberosum (potato)
Lineage: Eukaryota; Viridiplantae; Streptophyta; Magnoliopsida; Solanales; Solanaceae
Description: long non-coding RNA (STUB_LNC000633)
Source: RNAcentral
CUGUCCUAGACUAACACAAAGUAAUCAUUCUCUCUUUUGGGCCUUAGACCCAAUUUUCCACCUGUCCUAAAAAACUAAUAAAGUAAUAGCAAAAUUUAAUGACAAGGGCUUAGACCCAAAAUAACAAAAUACAAAAAUGAAAGAUGGGCGUUUGACCCAAUCUUUCCAAAUUUUUGAUAUGUUGCAUAUUCUUUCAAGCUCCG